This 1553-nucleotide unclassified non-coding RNA is filed under the name Camponotus floridanus (Florida carpenter ant). Its description in RNAcentral is "protein king tubby, transcript variant X2". Lineage: Eukaryota; Metazoa; Arthropoda; Insecta; Hymenoptera; Formicidae. The record is from RNAcentral.
GGUUGCCUAGGUACCGUAAAUGAACGAGUGUGUUUGACGUAAACAAAGCUGGUUUGUCAGCGGCUGGUUUGUCGCGUAUCUUGUUGACUUGUGAUCUGCCAAUUUCGCGCGAGAUGACAUCGCUCGAUUUGCGACAGCAGAAGCUGGAGCAGCAGAGACAGUUAAUUGCGCAAAAGAUGAAACAGAAAAGGCAAACUGGUGCAAGUGGAAUGGUCCAGGCAUCUAAUGUAUCCAGUGCACAACUUACGAGUCAUUCCAAUAGGUGGAUGAAUCCAAACAAGGAACUUCAUGCGUAUGAUGGCCCAUUACAAUAUACUAUGUCUCAAACAAAUACAGAUAUAGGCCCAUAUACAGAGAGAAAAACUAGUGAAGGGACAAUUAAUGCAGUGGUCAAUGAAAGAAGUCUAUAUGAAAGUUUUCAAAGUGUUGAUUGUGCUGACGAAGAAUCAUCACCCAUAGAAUUCCAUUCACCUUCAGAAUCUCUACCACGUUCCUCGCCCCUUCGAGUGGCACCAUCGGAAGGAACUAGUACUCUUAUUAAUAGAGAUGAUAAUUCUUCCAGUCCAGAAUUGGAAGGAAAUGUUGAAGGUAACAUUGAACAAUUCGUGUUACAACCAGCAAAUAAGAAAAUGUAUUAUAAAUGUCGAAUAACGCGCGAUCGAAAAGGAAUGGACCGUGGUCUUUACCCGACCUACUUCUUGCAUCUAGAACGUGAUUAUGGAAAAAAGAUCUUCCUAUUGGCUGGUCGAAAAAGGAAAAAAAGCGCAACAAGUAAUUAUUUAAUCUCAACCGAUCCUACGGAUCUUUCGAGAGGAGGGGAGUCUUACGUAGGUAAACUUCGAUCAAAUCUUUUGGGAACACAAUUCACAAUUUAUGACAAUGGAUACUCGCUGAUGAAGGAUGACAAACGCGACGAGCGUUUCAAUCCGCGGCAAGAAUUAGCCGCGGUAGUGUAUGACACAAACGUUUUAGGUUUUAAAGGGCCACGUAAAAUGACAGUCAUCAUACCAGGCAUGACGCCCGAUCAAAAGAGAGUGGAGAUAUGUCCGCGAGACGAAUCAGAAACUUUACUUGAACGUUGGAAAUCGAAACAUAUGGACAAUUUAAUAGAAUUACAUAAUAAAACUCCUGUGUGGAACGACGAGUCACAGUCUUAUGUGCUUAAUUUCCAUGGGCGGGUAACUCAAGCAUCUGUAAAAAAUUUUCAAGUUGUCCACGAUAGCGAUGUGAAAUAUGUUGUGAUGCAAUUCGGACGUGUUGCAGAAGAUGUUUUUACAAUGGAUUAUAGAUUUCCCCUUUGUACAGUCCAGGCAUUUGCCAUUGCUCUGAGUAGUUUCGACAGUAAAUUAGCGUGCGAAUAAAAGCGCGAUUGCGUCGAUGUCGUCGAUCGAAUGUAAACUAUCAAUGAUUUGACAAAAACGGAUUAUUACGAAUUUAUUUAAAAGAAAGACACCCUGUCAAGCGGGACGGAGACAAGGGCUGAAGACUGAAUUAUUUCUAUAAAUAUGAUACAUCGGUUUGAGCAGUUUUCGCGUUUGGUCGAAUAAAUCUGA